GAAGCUGCGGCUAACUACGUGCCAGCAGCCGCGGUAAUACGUAGGCAGCAAGCGUUGUUCGGAAUUACUGGGCGUAAAGAGUGUGUAGGCGGUGCCCUAAGUUCGGUGUGAAAUCUCCCGGCUCAACUGGGAGGGUGCGCCGGAAACUGGGGUGCUCGAGUAGGGGAGAGGUAAGCGGAAUUCCUGGUGUAGCGGUGAAAUGCGUAGAUAUCAGGAGGAACACCUGUGGUGUAGACAGCUUGCUGGACCAUUACUGACGCUGAGACACGAAAGCGUGGGUAGCAA
RNAcentral lists this ribosomal RNA (285 nucleotides) under uncultured bacterium. RNAcentral describes it as "partial 16S ribosomal RNA". It matches the Rfam family "Bacterial small subunit ribosomal RNA", at positions 487 to 771 of the family's 1533-position model. The record is from RNAcentral.